UUUUCAUGAAAGAGAAUCCUUACUUUAUGUGGGAUUUGGUUGUUAGGGGCCUAGGGGGUGUGGGGGCUGUUGAUUCCCAAAACUCAAGCUGGAGUUAUUGUAAACUGCACCAACAGUGUAUUUAGGUUAGCUGGGGCAGAAAAGAAUAGGCACUGGAUCUUUUGUCCCCAUAUUUACUGCCCCCUCUCCCACAUAGUUUCUAUAGAGAUAAACACUCUUUCACAUCCUCUUAACCCGGAUAACUAACCGGGAAUGUUAUUUUUUUAUAGAGAUAAACGCUCUUUCACAUCUUCUUAACCCGGAUAACUAACUCGGGAAUGUUUGUUUUUUCCUUAGGAUACUUCAAGAACUGAUCCAGUGGAGACGGGGUGGAACUUGUAGCCUUGAGGACUAGAGCAUGUGGUUUACGAACCUUCACUCCACUCCGGAGGUAGGAAAAUCAUGCACUCCCGUCCAAACGUUCUUGCCUUUCGAGAUUCUCAUCAUAUCUUGUGAUUAUGAAUACAAUGAUGAGGGGAGACACGGACAUUUGCCGACAGACUAUCCUAAAAAAUGGUGGUUUAAGCAAGAACUUAGAUAGACAUUUUAGGUCUUUACUCUAGAUAUACACACUCUGGAAGUUAGUGUCACAGCAAUGGAAUCUCUCUAGAUAGGAAUCUGUAGCCAUUUGAGUUGCUGUUUAACUGUGAAAUUUUAUGACUUUUAUGGAUAUAUAUGGACAGUGAUGACAAUGACAUUUUAUUAGACUGGCACUGGGGGAAGACAUCAUUAUUGAAGGGGGGAUCAAAAGAAAAGUGAAAAGACUCUUCCUUAUAUGGGGAUCAAGAGCAGCUGACAGCUGAUCCAAACAAGACAUUCCCUCAGCAAGUGAUGCCGUAGAGGUCCAUCUUUUCCAUAGCUUGAUAUAUACUCUUGGUUUUCUAGGCUUGGACAGUAUUUAUUUUUGCAAUUUCCCUUAAAGGUUCUGUUUGCUUACUUUUGGAGUGUUUUAAGCCUGUUUCCAUCUUUUGAUCUAGUUUCCCAUUGCAGUAUUCAAAAACUAAUCUUGGGGAGCAAACUUACUCAUCAGUAUUCUGUAGGUAAGCAGUUUUCAAUGGUAAUCGUUUGCAAGAUUUCGGUUUAUUGUUCAACAAAAACUUGUUUGGUGGGUAUUUAUCGAACCAUGAUUUCGGGUGAUUUUCAGGAAAUAACCCUUUGGCUAAAAGACUAGUGCUUGUCCAACUGGCGUAUGUGUUUUCAAAAGCAAGUUUCUUAAAAGUGUUGUAUAAAACCGUGAUUAAUUCUUGACCGAACUUUCUUUUAGCACGAAUAAUUUUCCGUGGAGUUGUAUUGUUCUUAAAAAGUGCCUCGAUUGCAACGCAUCGAUAACUGAUAACCGAACAAGUUUUCUGCAUUUUCUGAAAAACUCAUGAAAACUGUAAUAGGAAACAGCAACAAAAUCUGAGAGACACUUGUGUUUUAUGAUGCAACUGGUCGAGCUGUAAUGAGGAACUGAAGGGUAGUGGAAAUAAUACAAUUUAAUUUGCUAUGGCAUGUUCCAUUUUCACCAAAGAAAAUCGAGGAAGUGAGCUUGUUCUGUAAUGGGCAAGGCUGGAAAGCAGCAGGGGAUUGGUGGAAAGGAUUCUGUCUUAUUGUGCAGGGCUGAAGGAUGUACUGGAUGUAGAAGGGCACAUGCCACGGGAAGAGAGAGAGAGAGAGAGAGA
Rhododendron vialii is the source of this 1703-nucleotide long non-coding RNA. RefSeq lists it as uncharacterized. The transcript is spliced from 3 exons. Lineage: Eukaryota; Viridiplantae; Streptophyta; Magnoliopsida; Ericales; Ericaceae. The record is from RefSeq and is a predicted model, not a curated record.